Molecule: ribosomal RNA, 489 nt
Filed under: uncultured bacterium
Lineage: Bacteria
Description: partial 16S ribosomal RNA
Rfam family: Bacterial small subunit ribosomal RNA
Source: RNAcentral
GAUGAACGCUGGCGGCGUGCCUUAAGCAUGCAAGUCGAGCGGAAAGGCCCUUUCGGGGGUACUCGAGCGGCGAACGGGUGAGUAACACGUGAGUAAUCUGCCCUUGGCUUUGGGAUAACCACCGGAAACGGUGGCUAAUACCGGAUAUGACGCGCCCCGGCAUCGGGGUGUGUGGAAAGUUUUUUCGGCCAGGGAUGUGCUCGCGGCCUAUCAGCUUGUUGGUGGGGUAAUGGCCUACCAAGGCUUCGACGGGUAGCCGGCCUGAGAGGGUGACCGGCCACACUGGGACUGAGACACGGCCCAGACUCCUGCGGGAGGCAGCAGUGGGGAAUAUUGGACAAUGGGCGGAAGCCUGAUCCAGCAACGCCGCGUGAGGGAUGACGGCCUUCGGGUUGUAAACCUCUUUCAGUACCGACGAAGCGCCGAUGAUGGUGGUGACGGUAGGUGCAGAAGAAGCACCGGCCAACUACGUGCCAGCAGCCGCCGUAA